GGGGUUGUAGCUCAGUGGUAGAGCACUUGCCUUGCAUGUGUGAGGCCCUGGGUUCUAUCCUCACAACCACA
This 71-nucleotide transfer RNA is filed under the name Ictidomys tridecemlineatus (thirteen-lined ground squirrel). RNAcentral describes it as "Spermophilus tridecemlineatus (thirteen-lined ground squirrel) tRNA". It matches the Rfam family "tRNA". From Rfam's summary of the family: Transfer RNA (tRNA) molecules are approximately 80 nucleotides in length. Their secondary structure includes four short double-helical elements and three loops (D, anti-codon, and T loops). Lineage: Eukaryota; Metazoa; Chordata; Mammalia; Rodentia; Sciuridae. The record is from Rfam by way of RNAcentral.